GAGAUGAUGAGGCAAAAGGGAACAAUGGCGUUACAUACGGUUCAGGUAAGGAGUGUUGAAGACGGGUUUCGGGGGUCAUGGCACUCUGGAACUGUGAUUGCCUGUGAAAAUCAGGCUCGAAGAGUCCAAUACAACCAUCUUUUGUGCGACGACGGUUUGCAACCUCUCAUUGAUUGUAUAAAAGUCCCUCCUGUCAUUGAUGGCAUUGUUCCGGCCAUCAGGGUAAUGUGUAACCAUCGGGGUUUGAUAAGGCCAUUGCCACCACCGAUUGAUUUUACGAAAUGAUCUUUCCACUACGGACAGUGUGUUGACGUCUAUUAUAAUGCCAAACUGUAUUCAGAUGAAUAUUCCUUUGAGAAUGAUAAUUUUCUUUUUCUUAUCCAGUUCUGGAUUGUUGAGGUGUGAUUUGUUUGUUGAUGAACAAAUUUGAUGAUUAAAUAUUGUCACCAUAACUAGGCUACCUAAUUGCCAAACUGUAGGUUGUGAUUCUGGGGUCAGAUAUUAAAACUCCACAAAUUGGUUUGCAAGCCCUUGCUAGGGCCCUAUCUCAAAGAGGCAUCGCAAAGAAGAUACAGGUUAUUGCUAAGGCACGUGUGCCAAUCGUCAAAUUUGUAGAGAAGAGAAGUGGCGUUGCAUUUGAUAUAAGUUUUGAUUUGCAAAACGGACCAAAAGCUGCUGAGUUCAUAAAGAAUGCUGUAUCUAAGAUGCCCCCAUUACGGCCAUUGUGUUUGAUCUUAAAAGUUUUUCUGCAGCAAAGAGAGUUAAAUGAGGUGUAUACUGGUGGAAUUGGUUCUUAUGCACUCCUUGCAAUGCUCAUAGCAAUGUUU
Molecule: non-coding RNA, 827 nt
Organism: Camellia sinensis
Lineage: Eukaryota; Viridiplantae; Streptophyta; Magnoliopsida; Ericales; Theaceae
Source: RefSeq, a predicted model, not a curated record